Molecule: small nuclear RNA, 63 nt
Filed under: Chelonoidis abingdonii (Abingdon island giant tortoise)
Lineage: Eukaryota; Metazoa; Chordata; Testudines; Testudinidae
Description: U4 spliceosomal RNA (ENSCABG00000015679.1)
Rfam family: U4 spliceosomal RNA
About the family: U4 small nuclear RNA (U4 snRNA) is a component of the major U2-dependent spliceosome.
Source: RNAcentral
AGUAUCGUAGCUAAUGAGGUUAAUUCGAGGUGCGAUUAUUGCUAGUUGAAAACUUUUCCCAUU